GGCAAGGUGGCCGAGCGGUCUAAGGUUAGUUCCCCGCUUAUCAGGCAGCCUUGAAGCUCAAACUAACCAAUAAUAGGCGCUGGAUUCAAGAGAUUUCCUCUUUCGGAAUUUCCAAUUCCGUCCACUUCCCAGUACGCGUAGCGUGCGCGAGUUCGAAUCUCGCCCUUGUCA
Non-coding RNA from Aspergillus terreus NIH2624, 171 nucleotides. The record is from the annotation of a RefSeq genome assembly. NCBI's taxonomy places the organism in Eukaryota, Fungi, Ascomycota, Eurotiomycetes, Eurotiales, Aspergillaceae.